RNAcentral lists this ribosomal RNA (580 nucleotides) under Alteromonas sp. RNAcentral's name for it is "bacterial SSU rRNA". It matches the Rfam family "Bacterial small subunit ribosomal RNA", at positions 76 to 656 of the family's 1533-position model. Lineage: Bacteria; Pseudomonadati; Pseudomonadota; Gammaproteobacteria; Alteromonadales; Alteromonadaceae. The record is from RNAcentral.
GCUUGCUAGAAGAUGACGAGUGGCGGACGGGUGAGUAAUGCUUGGGAACUUGCCUUUGCGAGGGGGAUAACAGUUGGAAACGACUGCUAAUACCGCAUAAUGUCUUCGGACCAAACGGGGCUUAGGCUCCGGCGCAAAGAGAGGCCCAAGUGAGAUUAGCUAGUUGGUGAGGUAAAGGCUCACCAAGGCGACGAUCUCUAGCUGUUCUGAGAGGAAGAUCAGCCACACUGGGACUGAGACACGGCCCAGACUCCUACGGGAGGCAGCAGUGGGGAAUAUUGCACAAUGGGGGAAACCCUGAUGCAGCCAUGCCGCGUGUGUGAAGAAGGCCUUCGGGUUGUAAAGCACUUUCAGUUGUGAGGAAAAGUUAGUAGUUAAUACCUGCUAGCCGUGACGUUAACAACAGAAGAAGCACCGGCUAACUCCGUGCCAGCAGCCGCGGUAAUACGGAGGGUGCGAGCGUUAAUCGGAAUUACUGGGCGUAAAGCGCACGCAGGCGGUUUGUUAAGCUAGAUGUGAAAGCCCCCGGGCUCAACCUGGGGAUGGUCAUUUAGAACUGGCAGACUAGAGUCUUGGAGAA